GUGAUCACUUCUGCAUCACACAUACUAAAAUUGGAAUGAUACACAGAAGAUUAGCCUGGCCCCUGAGCAAGGAUGGCACACAAAUUUGUGAAACAUUCCAUAUCAAG
Molecule: small nuclear RNA, 107 nt
Organism: Pipistrellus kuhlii (Kuhl's pipistrelle)
Lineage: Eukaryota; Metazoa; Chordata; Mammalia; Chiroptera; Vespertilionidae
Source: RefSeq, a predicted model, not a curated record